UGGUUGCCCCUGCAGUGGUCCUGCUCAAUUUCUGACUGCAAAAGUGUCCUGUGUCUGGUAUCCCACUGCAAGAGUGUCCUGGUCCACCUCACUGACCUGCCAGCCAUGAAACGGUGCACUCUGCAUUUGCAUUUCUGCACAAGAUCCCGGUAAUCUUCAAGAGAACAAGCCCCAUUUAGAUAUGGAGAGAAGACGAAAUCCCUGAAGUCAAGUGCAUCACCAUCAGUGUUCGUCACACAGAAAGGGAAAGGAGACUCAACAACAGCACACUGCUGCUACAACAACUAGCACACAGCUUGCUCGACUGUCCAAAACGGCAGUCUGCAUCUGCCCUCCUUAUAACCCCUGUGGCACCAAUCGGGCAUCGCGCACAGCUGUGCUCGCUCAUCCGCUGCAGCUGGCAAGCAGGGAAAAAGAGCAGCACCCGAGUAGACACUGGGGACACAGGGAUGAGCCCAGCAACAACAACAACAAUAACACAUCACGUGACAGCAUGGAUGGACACCCUACCUUCAGCUGGCUUGUAGCGCCGACGCUGUGAACAUCAAUGAAUAACAAUAUGUUUGUGGACUCUACCUUGGAAGGAGC
Molecule: long non-coding RNA, 588 nt
Organism: Gasterosteus aculeatus aculeatus (three-spined stickleback)
Lineage: Eukaryota; Metazoa; Chordata; Actinopteri; Perciformes; Gasterosteidae
Source: Ensembl